AUGGGGACUAUUGGCAGUAGGCACACGGUUUGUCUUUCUUCCCUGUAUACUUGUGGCAAAUCCUUCCAAGUCAAUAAAACUUCAGGGUUUGGCAGAAGAAAAGUCCAUACUCACGUGGAGGCAUUCUCUGUUUUAAAAGGCUGCACCCGUUCAUCAGCUGCAGAUGUGGCUUCUGAUUUGCCUGGAUCAGCUGGUGACGUCGGAAUUUACGAGCUGCAGGUUUUGGCCGAGCAGAGCUACUGUUUGUUUCACUCCAUGCUUGCGAUGGCUGAUGAUACCAACUUCCUCCUUUUGGUUUUACUCUUAAGCUGCUCAUCGUUGUGUUUUGGUUCUCAAGCUGAUAUCGAGUGCCUGAAGUCUGUACAACAAUCAGUGAUUGAUCCCAACGGUGUACUCAAAUCCUCUUGGAACUUUGAAAAUGCCACCGCCGGUUUCAUAUGCCGCUUUACUGGUGUGGCUUGCUGGCACCCGGACGAGGACAGGGUUCUCUCUCUGCGCCUCGGGAACCUAGGACUUGAAGGCCCAUUUCCUCGUGGUCUACAGAAUUGUUCAAGCAUGAGCGGCCUGGACCUGUCAAACAACAAUUUUUCGGGACCAAUCCCUAGCGAAAUUGCACGGGAGGUGCCGUAUCUGACAUUUCUGGACCUUUCGUACAAUAGCUUUUCGGGUUCAAUCCCACAAAAUAUCUCACAAAUGACAUAUCUGAAUGUCCUCAACCUCCAGCAUAACCAACUCAGCGGUCAAAUUCCACCGCGAUUCGUUUUCCUUACUCGGUUAUUUGAAUUCAAUGUUGCGGACAACCUGUUAUCAGGGUUUAUUCCUCCUUUGCUACAGAAGUUUUCGUCUUCGAACUUUGCUGGUAACCAAGGGCUUUGCGGUGCACCGUUGGAUGAUUGUCCCCCCUCGAAGAGGAGAUGGAGACCGGUACGAAUCAGGCUGCACAGGCUCAAUGACCAGUCGAGCAUCGGAGUGGCCGUCGGAUUCGUCGUGGGGUUCGUGGUGGCCUUCUACUUCCCGCACUUGUUCGUCUGCUCCGAGAGGCUCCGAGCCUACGUCGUCCGGAUAUGA
This 1068-nucleotide ribosomal RNA is filed under the name Triticum aestivum (bread wheat). RNAcentral describes it as "partial small subunit ribosomal RNA". Lineage: Eukaryota; Viridiplantae; Streptophyta; Magnoliopsida; Poales; Poaceae. The record is from RNAcentral.